Molecule: long non-coding RNA, 895 nt
Organism: Diospyros lotus (date-plum)
Lineage: Eukaryota; Viridiplantae; Streptophyta; Magnoliopsida; Ericales; Ebenaceae
Exons: 3
Source: RefSeq, a predicted model, not a curated record
CCCAAGCUCCCAUUCUAUGUACUCUCUCUCUCUCUCUCUCUAUGGUUGGCCCAAGCUCCCAUUCUAUGUACUCUCUCUCUCUCUCUCUCUCUCUCUCUCUCUCUCUGUGGAUAGCUGCAAGCUGUGGUUCAAGAAGAGAAGUACUAGCAGUAGUGAGUUUGUGAUUCAUGUGCCCUUCUUCCCCAUCAUGACCACUCGACCUUAUUUACCGUUCAAUCUCAAUGCCAAAAACCAUCCAACUACACAACCUAGCUUGCUGCUUUUUGCCCUCCAUCGGCCAAGCGUCGUUUCUUUUCUUCAGGUUGCCUUUCAGAGGUGGAUCCUUUCUGUUAUGUUGUGUUCCGGAGCAACUUUAUGGACGUUAUUUCAGACUCCUAUCCUUUUCUAUAUAUCUCUCAGAAGUAAGCAAUAUGCUUAGUUAGUUGUAUUUAUUUCAGACUCCUCUCCUUUUCUAUCUCUCAGAAGUAAGCAAUGUCCUUCGGUUGGGUUGUUCAUAGCUUUUUACAUCACCGACCAGCGGGCAGUACAUUAAUUAUGCCUCAUUCCCAGGCUCGGACGUUCUUGCUCGUGUUGGAGUUACAAUUAUGUGUGUGUGUGUGUGUGUGUCACAUAAUGCAAGAUUAACUUUUUGUCUCAUCUAAUUAUGAGCUUUAGGUUGCCUUUCAGAGGUGGAUCCUUUCUGUUAUGUUGAUGUUAUUUCAGACUCUUCUCCUUUUCUAUCUCUCAGAAGUAAGCAAUAUGCUUAGUUAGUUGUAUUUAUUUCUCAAUACAUUAAUUAACCCUCAAAAGUAUUUUUGAUCAUUUCAAUGAAUUGACAUUUUUCAGAGAGGACGGUAAGUGAAUUAAGUUGGCUUUAUAUUUGAUAGAUGAUCUGAGUGGAAUUUUUCUCUCUUUU